Non-coding RNA from Acanthosepion pharaonis, 100 nucleotides. Lineage: Eukaryota; Metazoa; Mollusca; Cephalopoda; Sepiida; Sepiidae. The record is from the annotation of a GenBank genome assembly.
CGUUGAAACACCGGUUUCCGUGGGGAUCACCGAAGUUAAGCAACAUCGAGCCUGGUCCGUACCUAGAUGGGUGACCGCUUGUGAAGAUCAGGUGCUGUAA